UACGUAGACCUCAAGCGUUAUCCGGAUUUAUUGGGCGUAAAGCGCGUGUAGGAGGCCGAAUGCGUCUUUGGUUAAAUACCACCGCCUAACGGUGGGACUGCCCAAGAUACGAUUCGGCUGGAGGAGGUUAGAGGUAAGCGGAACCCACGGUGUAGGGGUGAAAUCCGUUGAUAUCGUGGGGAACACCAAAGGCGAAGGCAGCUUACUGGGACUUUCCUGACUCUAAGACGCGAAAGCGUGGGGAGCAAAAAGG
RNAcentral lists this ribosomal RNA (253 nucleotides) under uncultured bacterium. Its description in RNAcentral is "partial 16S ribosomal RNA". It matches the Rfam family "Bacterial small subunit ribosomal RNA", at positions 524 to 776 of the family's 1533-position model. The record is from RNAcentral.